CCCCUCUUAGUUCUUCCUUCUUCCUUCUUACUUCUUCCUUCUUGGUCCAUAGUUAAUCUUUGGCUCUCAGAUUAUUUGCUUCUUCUUUUCUUCUUCUUUUGUUGUCAUUUUUCUUCGUUCUAUAUCUUUUACUUCCUCUCUCCUCCAGUCGCUCUCACCCUCAAAAACCAGAUCAAAAAACAUACCAAACACCAAACAACCAAAUCUGAAUCGUUCCUUCGCCAUCCGUUUCGUCUUCCUUCUCUCUUAGCCUCUCACAUCCUGCUUCAUUUCCUAUGAAACCAAUCUUGGCCCAAAAUCCGUAAUACCCAAAUCAAAAAACCUAACACCUCAGCCCCAAAUACCUCCUCCAAUCUCACUUGCUCUCUCGACUUCUUGCUUAGCAAUCAGUUGCUUGUCGCACUCGAUUUCUGUACUUGCAAUCGAAAUCUUGUGGCUCGUUAGCAAUUGAAAGGGGCUUCUGGGGCGGAAGAGGACUGCGCAUAUUGGGUCCAAGAAAGCUGAGAGAGGUAGUGAUGGCUCUUCUAUGGAAGGAAGAAGGUCUGGCCUUGUGCAUGAGAGUUCUUCUUCACAGAUUCGAGUUUCAGCUGUCCUGACAAAUGGUGCAUAUCUUUUGAACGUCGAUUGUGAUCACUACUUCAAUAACAGUAAAGCUGUUAAGGAAGCAAUGUGUUUCAUGAUGGACCCAGAUUAUGGGAAGAAGACCUGCUAUGUACAGUUCCCACAAGAAGAGGGCUGCUCUUAGUUCUUUUAAUUUGAGAUUCCAGGGCUCUUCAGAGAAAUUCAACCGAAGCUAUGAUGGAGGCAAGGGUUGUUGAUAUUCUAAAUGCAAUGGAACCACUUGCAUAUAGGAAAAUGGACUUUGAAAAAUUUUGUGCUGCUGCAAUUAGCACGCAUCAAUUGGAGGCCCUCGAAGGAUGGGAGCAGAUAGCAUCUACUGCUUUUUAAUUUGAGAUUCCAGGUCUGUCAAAAGAACUAAAUCGACCAUUCCCAUUUUCAAUAUGGAAGACAUUGACGAGUUAAGGUGAAGGAAAUCAACUAUUAUCAAUUAAACCUGAAGCCUUUGCUGAACUGAAGGUGAAGGAAAUCAAGAAUGGGCGGUUGGCAAUGACCUCAAUGUUUGGAUUCUUUGUUCAGGCUAUUGUAACUGGAAAAGGGCCAGUUGAGAACCUCUAUGACCACGUUGCUGAUCCUGUGGCCAACAAUGACCUCAAUGUUUGGAUUCUUUGUUCAUUCUUUUUUCUUUGUUCAGCUUCUUUUUGCUUGAACAACUUCUUUGUUUAUUGGCCAAAAGAAAAGAAAAGAAUACAAGAAAAAAGAAAAAAGAGAACUGUUUAUUUGUCUAAAUGCGGUGCACAUUCAGGUGCUCAUGUCAACAGAUGCAUGCUUUACUGCAAUUUAGGUAUAUCUAAACUAGAAUAAAUUAAGCAGACUGCUUCUAAAUGUCAAAACAGAAGUGAAUAAAAAUUCAAAACCAUGUUAUUAUCACAUUGAUAAAGUUCCCCAUCUUUCCAUCUACAUUAGGCAAACUAAGCUGGAAUGCAUUCCAGCCUCUUUUCAUACAUCAUCUUAACCCAAUCCUUAUUGUGGAGACCAUGUGUGUUAACCAUAGCAUUCCAGCGUUUUUCAAAAUCAUCUGGAGUGACUUCAUCCCACAUACAACGUCUAAAUUCAGAAAAGACACUGUUCUUACGCAGGUGCCUCCGGGCGUUCUUUGCUAUGUGCCAUGUACACAGACGAUGAGGACAACCAGGGAGUACCACUUCAAUAGCCCUUCGCAUUGCUUCAUCCCCAUCAGUCAAAACAGCAACAGGCCUUUUGUUAUUCAUAGACGAUAUAAAGGUCUCCAAAACCCAUGUGUUUGCAGUUUGCCG
Long non-coding RNA from Rosa chinensis, 1874 nucleotides. RefSeq lists it as uncharacterized. Lineage: Eukaryota; Viridiplantae; Streptophyta; Magnoliopsida; Rosales; Rosaceae. The transcript is spliced from 6 exons. The record is from RefSeq and is a predicted model, not a curated record.